ACUCUCAGCAACGGAUAUCUUGGCUCUUGCCACGAUGAAGAACGCAGCGAAAUGCGAUACGUGAUGUGAAUUGCAGAAUCCCGUGAAUCAUCGANUCUUUGAACGCAAGUUGCGCCC
Molecule: ribosomal RNA, 117 nt
Filed under: Isoetes tuerckheimii
Lineage: Eukaryota; Viridiplantae; Streptophyta; Lycopodiopsida; Isoetales; Isoetaceae
Description: partial 5.8S ribosomal RNA
Rfam family: 5.8S ribosomal RNA
About the family: 5.8S ribosomal RNA (5.8S rRNA) is a component of the large subunit of the eukaryotic ribosome. It is transcribed by RNA polymerase I as part of the 45S precursor that also contains 18S and 28S rRNA.
Source: RNAcentral